This 1440-nucleotide ribosomal RNA is filed under the name uncultured organism. RNAcentral's name for it is "16S ribosomal RNA". It matches the Rfam family "Bacterial small subunit ribosomal RNA". The record is from RNAcentral.
GGCGGCGUGCUUAACACGUGCAAGUCGAGCGAAGCGCUUAAGUUUGAUUCUUCGGAUGAAGACUUUUGCGACUGAGCGGCGGACGGGUGAGUAACGCGUGGGUAACCUGCCUCAUACAGGGGGAUAACAGUUAGAAAUGGCUGCUAAUACCGCAUAACACCACACUACUGCAUGGUACAGUGGUAAAAACUCCGGUGGUAUGAGAUGGACCCGCGUCUGAUUAGGUAGUUGGUGAGGUAACGGCCCACCAAGCCGACGAUCAGUAGCCGACCUGAGAGGGUGACCGGCCACAUUGGCACUGAUACACGGCCCAGACUCCUACGGGAGGCAGCAGUGGCUAAUAUUGCACAAUGGGCGAAAGCCUGAUGCAUCGACGCCUCGUGAAGGAUGAAGUAUUUCGGUAUGUAAACUUCUAUCAUCAGGGAACAAAAUGACGGUACCUGACUAAAAAGCCCCGGCUAACUACGUGCCAUCAGCCGCGGCAAUACGUGCGGGGCAAGCGUUAUCCGAAUUUACUGGGUGUAACGGCAGCGUAGACGGCUGCGCACGUCUGAAGUGAAAGGCAUGGGCUCAACCUGUGGACUGCUUUGGGAACUGUGCAUCUAGAGUGUCGGAGAGGUAAGUGGAAUUCCUAGUGUAGCGGUGAAAUGCGUAUAUAUUAGGAGGAACACCAGUGGCGAAUGCAGCUUACUGGACCAUGACUGACGUUGAGGCUCGAAAGCGUGCUGAGCAAACAGGAUUAGAUACCCUGGUAGUCCACGCGGUAAAGGAGGAGUGCUAGGUGUUCGGGGUAGCAAAGCUAUUUGGUGCCGCAGCUGACGCAAUAAGGCAGUCCACCUGGGGAGUACGUUCGCAAGGAAUGAAACUCAAAGGAAUUGACGGGGGACCCGCACAAGCGGUGGAGCAUGUGGUUUAAUUCGAAGCAACGCGAAGAACCUUACCUGAUCUUGACAUCCCGAUGACCGCUUCGUAAUGGAAGUUUUUCUUCGGAACAUCGGUGACAGGUGGGGCAUGGUUGUCGUCAGCUCGUGUCGUGAGAUGUUGGGUUAAGUCCCGCAACGAGCGCAACCCUUAUCUUCGGUAGCCAGCAUUAAGGAUGGGCACUCUGGAGAGACUGCCAGGGAUAACCUGGAGGAAGGUGGGGAUGACGUCAAAUCAUCAUGCCCCUUAUGACCAGGGCUACACACGUGCUACAAUGGCGUAAACAAAGGGAAGCAGAGCCGCGAGGCCGAGCAAAUCUCAAAAAUAACGUCUCAGUUCGGAUUGUAGUCUGCAACUGGACUACAUGAAGCUGGAAUCGCUAGUAAUCGCAGAUCAGAAUGCUGCGGUGAAUACGUUCCCGGGUCUUGUACACACCGCCCGUCACACCAUGGGAGUCAGUAACGCCGGAAGUCAGUGACCCAACCGAAAGGAGGGAGCUGCCGAAGGUGGGACCGAUAA